GACGAACGCUGGCGGCGUGCUUAACACAUGCAAGUCGAACGAAGAGCGAUGGAAGCUUGCUUCUAUCAAUCUUAGUGGCGAACGGGUGAGUAACGCGUAAUCAACCUGCCCUUCAGAGGGGGACAACAGUUGGAAACGACUGCUAAUACCGCAUACGAUCUAAUCUCGGCAUCGAGGGUAGAUGAAAGGUGGCCUCUACAUGUAAGCUAUCACUGAAGGAGGGGAUUGCGUCUGAUUAGCUAGUUGGAGGGGUAACGGCCCACCAAGGCGAUGAUCAGUAGCCGGUCUGAGAGGAUGAACGGCCACAUUGGGACUGAGACACGGCCCAGACUCCUACGGGAGGCAGCAGUGGGGAAUCUUCCGCAAUGGACGAAAGUCUGACGGAGCAACGCCGCGUGAGUGAUGACGGCCUUCGGGUUGUAAAGCUCUGUUAAUCGGGACGAAAGGCCUUCUUGCGAAUAGUGAGAAGGAUUGACGGUACCGGAAGAGAAAGCCACGGCUAACUACGUG
This 510-nucleotide ribosomal RNA is filed under the name uncultured bacterium. RNAcentral's name for it is "partial 16S ribosomal RNA". It matches the Rfam family "Bacterial small subunit ribosomal RNA", at positions 28 to 507 of the family's 1533-position model. The record is from RNAcentral.